UCUGAACAUUUGAUGAAAUUUGAUGAUGACAUUCUUCACAUUUAUAAGUUAGCUCUCCAAUAAAAAUUCUCUGAUGUUCCACAGUUUUGACGCUGGGGCAAAAGCCUUAGCAUACACAUUAUUUUUGUGUGGUUUCUCUGACAGAUGUAGACUCUGACGUCAUUGUGAGGCCCAGAUAAGAGCUCCACCACACUUACAUGGUUGCCCUUCAACAUGGACUCUGUUGUUGCAAAGUAUCUGGAACUCAAGGUUUCUCUCCAGAAUGAAUCCUGAUGUCAGACCACUGUCGAAAGGUCUUGCCACAUUCAGCACAUGCAUAUGGUUUCUCUCCAGUAUGAUUUCUUCCAUGAUGCCUAAGGUGUGAACGCCUGGUAAAGGUCAUGCCACAUUCACUACAUCGGUGAGGUUUCUCUCCAGUAUGGAUUACCUGACGGUAAGUUGGGCUUGACUGCACACCAAAGGCUUUACCACAUUCACUACAUUUAUAUGGUUUCUCCCCAGUAUGGAUUCUCCAAUGUCUUGCUAGGUGUGAAUUUUGACUGAAGACCUUCCCAUAUAUAUCACAUUUAUAUGGUUUCUCUGCUGUAUGGAUUAUCUGAUGUCUAGUGAGGUGUGAGCCCUGAGUAAGGACUUUGCCACACUCGUGGCAUUUGAAAGGUUUAUCUCCAGCAUGAAAUUCUUUGGCAGAUCGUGAUGUUAGACCAUUGUCUGAAGGCCUUGCCACAUUCAGUACAUUUGUAUGGUUUCUUUCCAGUAUGACUUCUCUCAUGAUGCCUAAGGUGUGAAGCCUUGAUAAAAGCCUUGCCACAUUCAUUACAUUUAUGAGGUUUCUCUCCAGUGUGGAUCAUCUGAUGGCUUAUCAGGCUUGAACGCACAACGAAAGCUUUGCUGCACACAUUACAUUGUAUGGCAAUGACUCAGUAUGACUUUUCUGAUAGUCAACCAGGCUUGAAUUCUGAGU
Molecule: long non-coding RNA, 961 nt
Filed under: Mustela putorius furo (domestic ferret)
Lineage: Eukaryota; Metazoa; Chordata; Mammalia; Carnivora; Mustelidae
Description: lncRNA (ENSMPUG00000029067.1)
Source: RNAcentral